Molecule: long non-coding RNA, 2474 nt
Organism: Anser cygnoides (Swan goose)
Lineage: Eukaryota; Metazoa; Chordata; Aves; Anseriformes; Anatidae
Source: Ensembl
AUGAGGGUGGAUACCAAUGAUGAAGUGUAUUUAAAUAUAUAUAUGAAUUUGUAUUACAGAGUACUUCCUUCUAAAACUGGUUCUGGAAUCCUGAAGAACUACGUGCACGGAACAACAUCUUCUGCAGUCCUGACAAGGUUGAGAUUCUGCGUCCAGUUAAGGUGGUGCCAAUAUUUACUUGCUUUUUCAAAUCUGCAUAGCAAUGUUGAAAUACAAACGUGUCAAUGCCUAUCAUCUCUGUUUCUUCUCUGUGAUCCUAAACGUUGUCUCCUCAGAACUUCCACGUAUCAUCCUCCUCCUAGUAUCUAAAGCAUGAGUGCGAAUUUUCCUAAGCUGGAAAGGUUGUACGGCUGCUCAUUUGGCAGAAGUAAAUUAUAUGAUGAGUCCUUUUCUUGUCACCUGAUUGAGUUUACCUUGUCAUAGUCUAAAUGUAUAAAAGAUGGAGUAAAAACAAAUGCAUUUUUGAAAUGACAUAUUUUAUUCAGAAUCUAUUUUAAAUGCCCAUUGUAUGUUACCAAAAUAAUGGAAUGGCCACUGAUUCCCUGUUAAGUUUCCAUUUUCACUGAGCCAGAUCUCACUCAUUUAGGCCAAUCUGAGGGAGCUGCAUUUGCAUUUAGGUUGUUUUUAGUAUGUUGACUUAGGUGGAUAAGGGCUCUUAAAACAAAUGUUUGCAGAAUUGUGAUGUGGUAUAUUUGUGUUAUUACAAUUAUCGUUGCUGCUGUGGAUUCUUAUGCUGUAAACAGUGAGUUGUUACAUCAGUGAUCGAAUUUGGCCUGAUACUAGGGGGGAGCUGUAAAGGCUUCAGAGCAUAAUACAGAAAUGCAGCAUGUGCCUUGCACAGCGUAGCUAUCUAACAAUAAUACAUUAAGGUUAUUUAUGGAGUUUCUUUGUGGUUGAUAUGCUACUGAAGAAACAUAAGCCAAACUUGCUGUUAGUUCACUAAAGAUAAAAUUGUUACAGUGUUUUCUGCCCUUAGUUUUAUGUGAAUUGCUUAAAGAAAAUUAUCAAAAGUCACGUAAUUACACUGAAGAUGUCUUUAAGAUUUGUACAGCAUUCAAGACGUGAAGUGAAUCUCAUUAAUUUUAUCAGCAGUUUCAUUUGAGUUUAAAGACCUCAGGUGUCUAAAACACAGUAGUAGUAGUAGUAGACUGCACAUUACGAGUUUUGUGACUAGACCUUGUCAUUAGAACUGGGAGCAUCACUGGGUGCCUUCUGCAUCUGCAGCUUGUAUAUAAUGCACUGCACCCAUUCCUGUAGCCGCUACUCUUCCUUCUCUGAGCGUCUUCGGUCAGGGUGGUACUUUGUUGUAUUUUUUGGCAUACCACUGCUUUUAUAUUUUUGCUUGUCUUUGGUUCUGUGUCCUUUGUGACAUGGUAGUGCAGAACCCACAGGUGCUGCUUGGCAUGCUUGUUCACCCCCUGGCCAGCACUCUGACUCUGCAUUGACCCUCUUUGCGCUGACCUGUUAGGACAAUGCCCAACUACAAAGGGUAAGAGUUAGAUUUUCAAUUUUAGUUCAUAAAAUGGAGCUACAUUUCAAAUUUGUGAUGAACUUGGCUGUGCUGGAGUGUCUGUUCUGAAAGACACUGAUGUGCUUCCCUUAAACAGCUGUAAAAUCUUUAAGCAUUAAAGCACAUAUCUUGGCUCUAGAAAUAGCCAUGGACUGCAAAAUAACCAAAUACCUUGCUCUGUUGGCAAGAUAACACUGAAUGCUGUGGGAGUCUGCUCCUGGUUGCUGUCAAAUAGUUGUUAUGAAUUUCACUUGGACGUUGAAGAAGUCCAAAGGAUAUUUUCACUUUUGCACCUUCACCUUCUUGACUGUGUUCAAGGUAGUAGUUAAAAUAACGAAGUAAUAUAUAAGUGUGUAGAGGCUAAACCGGAAGUUUUAGGUGUGUGCAUCUACUUUUUGGAUGUUUUUCAAGAGUAGAUUCAUAGUAUUUGGGCAUCCCAACUAAUGUUGACAGGAUACUAUUAUAUCGAUGAUCACAUCCAUUCAAGGAAGUUACUUCUUAAUACAUACUUAAGAGACUAUAUAUUUUUUCCUAUGCUAGUGUACAUUUCAGCAGAGGUCUUGAGCAUAGAAUUGGUAGAUAAUUCAGUUUUGAAAAAUUUCAGCUCAUUAAAUAUGAAAAUUAUUUAGUUGGUGCUUCCCAUAGUAGAACUUCAGCUAUGUUUAGUAUUCCGUGUUUAUGAAACGUUGUAUUUAUCUGUAAUGUUUUUCCUGUUCCUUUUUUUAAUCAGAUUUUUUUUUUCUAGUGAAAAGCUGCACAUGCUUCCUUCCUUUUUUGUUCCUUUCUUUAGAGAGAUUGUCUUCUGUUUUCACUGAGUAAAGUUGCAUUCAUAAGUAUUAUUCACCAUGGUGAACUUUGGGAAAAUAACUGGAAUUUCAAGCAAGGCAUUUAGAAGGACUGACACAAAUCACUACAUGUGGAAGAGAAUAAUAAAAAAAAAAAAUCCAGUUUUACUUAGUUUCUC